RNAcentral lists this non-coding RNA (65 nucleotides) under Methanoregula formicica SMSP. Its description in RNAcentral is "Methanoregula formicicum SMSP Fluoride riboswitch aptamer (crcB RNA motif)". It matches the Rfam family "Fluoride riboswitch aptamer (crcB RNA motif)". Lineage: Archaea; Methanobacteriati; Methanobacteriota; Methanomicrobia; Methanomicrobiales; Methanoregulaceae. The record is from Rfam by way of RNAcentral. RNAcentral also lists the same sequence under 1 other name.
UUAUCAUCUGGUGAUGAGGUCCACCAUCAAUCGCCCGGAUCCGGGCUGAUGACUUCUUGUUUUGA